GAUGAACGCUAGCGGCAGGCCUAAUACAUGCAAGUCGAGGGGCAGCAGGAGUAGCAAUAUUCGCUGGCGACCGGCGCACGGGUGCGUAACACGUAUACAAUCUGCCUUUAACAGGGGGAGUAGCCCGGACGAAAUCCGGAUUAAUACCCACUAACACUAAGAGUAGCACUACUUUGUUAAAGACUCCGGCGGUUAGAGAUGAGUAUGCGUCUGAUUAGUCUUGUUGGUGAGGUAACGGCUCACCAAGGCAACGAUCAGUAGGGGAGUCUGAGAGGAUUAACCCCACCACGGAGUACUGAGACACGGAGUCCG
Molecule: ribosomal RNA, 312 nt
Filed under: uncultured bacterium
Lineage: Bacteria
Description: bacterial SSU rRNA
Rfam family: Bacterial small subunit ribosomal RNA
Source: RNAcentral